CCUACGGGAGGCAGCAGUAAGGAAUAUUGGUCAAUGGACGCAAGUCUGAACCAGCCAUGCCGCGUGAAGGAUGAAUGCCCUCUGGGUUGUAAACUUCUUUUAUAGGGGACGAAAAAGGGUCUUUUCAGAUCAACUGACGGUACCCUAGGAAUAAGCACCGGCUAACUCCGUGCCAGCAGCCGCGGUAAUACGGAGGGUGCAAGCGUUAUCCGGAUUUACUGGGUUUAAAGGGUGCGUAGGUGGGUUGGUAAGUCAGCGGUGAAAUCUUCGAGCUUAACUCGGAAACUGCCAUUGAUACUAUCAGCCUUGAAUAUCCUGGAGGUGAGCGGAAUAUGUCAUGUAGCGGUGAAAUGCUUAGAUAUGACAUAGAACACCAAUUGCGAAGGCAGCUCACUACGGGAUUAUUGACACUGAGGCACGAAAGCGUGGGGAUCAAACAGGAUUAGAUACCCUGGUAGUCCACGCCCUAAACGAUGGAUACUCGACAUUUGCGAUAUACAGUAAGUGUCUGAGCGAAAGCAUUAAGUAUCCCACCUGGAAGUACGAUCGCAAGAUUGAAACUCAAAGGAAUUGACGG
Molecule: ribosomal RNA, 577 nt
Filed under: uncultured bacterium
Lineage: Bacteria
Description: bacterial SSU rRNA
Rfam family: Bacterial small subunit ribosomal RNA
Source: RNAcentral